This 1175-nucleotide ribosomal RNA is filed under the name uncultured Bacteroidota bacterium. Its description in RNAcentral is "bacterial SSU rRNA". It matches the Rfam family "Bacterial small subunit ribosomal RNA", at positions 313 to 1489 of the family's 1533-position model. The record is from RNAcentral. Lineage: Bacteria; Pseudomonadati; Bacteroidota.
CUGGUACUGAGACACGGACCAGAUCCUACGGGAGGCAGCAUGAGGAAUAUUGGACAAUGGAGGCAACUCUGAUCCAGCCAUGCCGCGUGCAGGAAGACGGCCCUAUGGGUUGUAAACUGCUUUUAUACAGGAAGAAUUGUACCUACGUGUAGGUAUUUGACGGUACUGUACGAAUAAGGAUCGGCUAACUCCGUGCCAGCAAGCCGCGGUAAUUACGGAGGAUCCCAAAGCGUUAUUCCGGAAUCAUUGGGGUUUAAAAGGGUCCGUAGGCGGUCUUUUAAGUCAGAGGUGAAAUCCUGCAGCUCAACUGUAGCAUUGCCUUUGAUACUGAGAGACUUGAGUUAUUGUGAAGUAGUUAGAAUGUGUAGUGUAGCGGUGAAAUGCAUAGAUAUUACACAGAAUACCGAUUGCGAAGGCAGAUUACUAACAAUAUACUGACGCUGAGGGACGAAAGCGUGGGUAGCGAACAGGAUUAGAUACCCUGGUAGUCCACGCCGUAAACGAUGGAUACUAGCUGUUCGACCAACAUUGGUUGGUUGAGUGGCUAAGCGAAAGUGAUAAGUAUCCCACCUGGGGAGUACGCUCGCAAGAGUGAAACUCAAAGGAAUUGACGGGGGCCCGCACAAGCGGUGGAGCAUGUGGUUUAAUUCGAUGAUACGCGAGGAACCUUACCAGGGCUUAAAUGUAAGUUGCAUAGAUCAGAGAUGGUCUUUUCUUCGGACUACUUACAAGGUGCUGCAUGGUUGUCGUCAGCUCGUGCCGUGAGGUGUCAGGUUAAGUCCUAUAACGAGCGCAACCCCUGUCGUUAGUUACCAUCAAGUAAUGUUGGGUACUCUAGCGAGACUGCCGGUGCAAACCGUGAGGAAGGUGGGGAUGACGUCAAAUCAUCACGGCCCUUACGUCCUGGGCUACACACGUGCUACAAUGGCCGGUACAGAGAGCAGCCACUACGCGAGUAGGAGCGAAUCUAUAAAACCGGUCUCAGUUCGGAUCGCAGUCUGCAACUCGACUGCGUGAAGCUGGAAUCGCUAGUAAUCGGAUAUCAGCCAUGAUCCGGUGAAUACGUUCCCGGGCCUUGUACACACCGCCCGUCAAGCCAUGGAAGCUGGGAGUACCUGAAGUCGGUGACCGCAAGGAGCUGCCUAGGGUAAAACUAGUAACUGGGGCUAAGUCGU